UAGCAUCCAUAUGAUAAGGAGCCCGGGCUGACAUGGCUAGUCGUAAACCCAAAGUGGCACAGACUUACAGGGACAGGCAUCCAUGACCCAGCAUCGAACGUGUCGGUCAUCAGCAAAUAAGUUCCGGGCUGUAGCACUGGGCUAGCAGGACUCCGGUAAACCGGGCUAUAGCGGGCUAACAGGACUCCGGUAUUCAUCGCGUGACAUUUCCCCGAAGGGACAGACACGGGAACGAAGAAGGACACAUGCCGGCCAGCCUAAGUGUUCCGGAGCAGUAGCAAGCUACCAUGGCUCGGUGGAAACACUAGGAGACAUUUCCCGGUAAGAGAGGCUACUAAAGAUAAACAACUAGAUAGUCAGAUCCCACACAUACCAAGCAUUUCAAUAACAUACACACAAUAUGCUCGAUAUGUGCAAAUACAACAUGGCAUCACAACAUGACUCUACGACUCAAGUAUUUAUUCAUUAGGCUCCGAGGAGCGAGAUAUUACAAACAGGGGUCUCAUGACCCAACAUUCAGAGCAUACAAAUCAAAGCACAAGCGGAAGCUAAUAUGUCUGAGUACAGACAUCUACAAAUGGAAAAAGGCUUAGAAGCCUGACUAUCUACCAGAUCCUGCCGAGGGCACAAGAUCGUAGCUGAGGUAUCAAGCUAAAAGUCGAAGUCCACGCGGAACUACUAGCGAGACCGAAGUCUCUCUGCAAAAACAUAAAAUAGGCAAACGUGAGUACAAAUGUACCCAGCAAGACUUACAUCAGAACUAACUACAUAUGCAUCAUUAUCAACAAAGGGGAUGGUGGAGUUUAACAGCAGCAAGCCAGCUUUGACUCGGUGGCUAUCCUAAACUACGACUGCAAGUAACUCUUUUGAGGUGGCACACAUGAGUCCACAUAUUCACCAUAUCAAUACACCACUAUGGAUCCGCUCUGUCUCCCUACGAGAACGCCAUCCAUAUCACUCACACUUAUCUUGCGUAUUUUAGAGUAUCCACUUUCACUUGUCUAUGAACUAUUAUAGGCAACCCAGAAGUCCUUUACCGCGGACACGGCUAUUCGAAUAGAUGAUGUUAACCCUGCAGGGGUGUACUUCUUCACACACGCUCUCACCACUUACCGCCGUUUACACGACAUGUACUCGGCAACCUUCAAGCGGAAGCCCAACGAGGGUGUCGGCCAUGACCUACCUAAACACUCAAGUCCCUAGUCCAGGUUUAUCGCCUAUUCGGGUUCCAUCCAUGAGGAGAUCCGGCCGACGUUUCGCUCACAGCCCCAAACGAUGUGAGCAGGGUUCCCGAGACACCAAACGGGCGCCCGGUACAUCGUGCCACGUGCCUACCGCAUCACAGCCCACCCCUACAGUCAGCGCUGCGCACGGCCUCCAGCAUACUACAAACACCAGAAACUACUUGCAACUCCUGGACAGAGGACAAGGGUGAUUAAGAAGCCAAGAGGGUCCAUUGGUUUUGGGCCCAAUGCGUGGUAGUAGCUGAAUCAUGGAUCACAAACACAGAACUCAGUUCCUGAGGGCGGCUGCAAUGAGACAACCCACCAUGUACUCCUACAUGGCCUCUCACCGCUACCUUUACCAAAUCGUGUUCACACACUUAGCUCACACACAGUAGGACAUGUUCACGCACCUCUGAUUCAUCCUCGAUGAAUCAGACCCGACUCAACUCUAAGCAGUAGCAGGCAUGACAAACAAGCAUGUAUGAGUAGGCACAACAAGGCUCAAACAACUCCUACUCAUGCUAGUGGGUUUCAUCUAUUUACUGUGGAAUGACAGGUCAUGCAAAGGAUAAAGGGGUUCAGCUACCGCAGCAAGUAACAGAUGAAUCGUUGUUGUCCUAAUGCAGUAAAAGAGAGCAGUAGCGAGAGAGUGGGAUUGUAUCGGAAUGAACAAGGGGGUUUUGCUUGCCUGGCACUUCUGAAGAUAUUAUAGCUCUUCAUCGGUGUCAUCGAUCUCAUCGUCGAAACCACGUCUAUCGAGAGGGGACAGUUACCGGCAAAUAAAGAGGGACACAAUCAAUGCAAUGCAACAAAUAUCAUGCAUGAUAAUGUCAUGGAAAUAUGUUGUUGAUUGAGCUAAUGCAACUAGCAGCAAGUUAAAUGAAGUUGGUUUGAACCCAAGGUUCAAAUUCAAACUCCAUAUGUGAAGGUUUAAAUGCCAUUAAUAUGAUUUGUGCUAAACAGCAGCUGUAAGUUGUUCUAACAUGCAUGAAAAUGGUACAGAUGGAUAGAUUGGAUUUUUCUGAUCAUUUUUCAUAUAUAAUUUAUUUCAUUUGGAGUUACGGUUGAAUUUCUAUGAAUUUUAGAAGUUUUGGUUAUUUUCUGGAAUUUCCUAUAUAAAAAUAAAUCCAGAAAAUAAGUUACUGCGUCAGCCUGACAUCAUCAUGACAUCAGCAGGUCAACGAGGCACGGUCCAGGUCAAACCUGACCAGUGGGGUCCACUGGUCAGUGACACAGUGUUGUUCAGUGUCAAUGACAUGUGGGGCCUGGUCAACGGCCACGUCAGCACAGUCAACUCUGACUGGUGGGUCCCGUGUGAUUAUAAACUAAUCUAAACAAAAAUAGAACCUAGGUUAUUUAGGGUGUGGGGCCCGGGUGUCAGUGAGAUAGGUGGGUUGGUUAGUGGUGUGUUUAACCGCUAAUGAUGGCCACGUCAUCAGUCGCCGGAGUUUGGCCGGCGGCGACCUCAAGCCGCGGCGGAGGCGCACUAGAGUGGCUCGGGUUUUGCCCAUAGUCGACCAAAUCAACCGCGGUUUGGUCCUACGCGUAGCUGGGGCUCGCGCGCAUCUAGUAGGCCAACCGGGAGGAGCUGGGGUGGUCUGAGUUGACGGCGGCGAGCACGAAUGCGGCGGCCAGAGUUCGGGCGAGGUUGGAAAUGGUGCUGUGGGGCACGGCGGGGCGAACGGCUGGGUGCUACGGCCUCCUGGUGAUGUGCUGAGCACGGUGACGUGCCCGGGAUCGAGCCAACGUGGCUGUGGCCAUGACGGCGACGUGCGGUGGCGGCGGCGGGUGCGGCCGAGCUCGGUGUGGUCGCUGUGGUGCUCAAGAAGGCAAACGGAGAGGGGGAGAAGGGGCAGGGGCUCACGGCGGUUGCAACGAGGCGAACGGAGAGCUUGGGGAAGCACCGGGGCGAGCGGGGCGGCGAUGGCGAUGUCGGCGGACCGAGGUUGAAGAAGACGGCGUGGACGGUGAGGCAGGGCCUUCGGCGUCGUGUAGCUCGGUGGAGAAGGUCGAGGAAGACGCGNNNNNNNNNNNNNNNNNNNNNNNNNNNNNNNNNNNNNNNNNNNNNNNNNNNNNNNNNNNNNNNNNNNNNNNNNNNNNNNNNNNNNNNNNNNNNNNNNNNNNNNNNNNNNNNNNNNNNNNNNNNNNNNNNNNNNNNNNNNNNNNNNNNNNNNNNNNNNNNNNNNNNNNNNGAGGAAGACGCGGCGGAGCUCCUGGACUGGUCGGGGAAGCGAGGGGGAGGCGGUGGGCAUGGCAACGCCGAGCGGCGUUGACAGCGGCGCUCGGGCGUGUUCGGUAGAGGGGGCAGGGAGGAGGAGAGAGGCCAGGGAGCGAGGGGAGCGGUCGAGGGGGGUCCAGGGGGGUCUGGGUGGCAACUCCAGAGGCGCCCCGGCCCUCGGCGACAAGCAGGAGGUGGCGCACGGCGGUGCGCGCGCGUCGGGGACGCGCCCGUCCUCCUGGCAAAGGAGAAAGACGACAGGGAAGGAGGCGGUGGUGGGCUGGGCCAGUUGGCUGGGCUGCCAGCUGGGCCGGCCAGGUGGGCUACGGCCAGGUAAGUGGCCCAGGUAGGUCUCUGCUCUGUUUUAUUUUUCUGUUCUGUUUUCUAUUAUUCUGUAAGUUUAGGGCUUUAUUAAAAAUGCCAGGGUAUUACCAAAAAUCAUGAAACUGCUCCAUGUCACUGUUUGGAAUAUUUCCAACAGUAAACAUUUCAGUUUGUGAUUAUUUGAGCAUUUAAAAUAUUAUUAGCAAUUAAAUGCCCAAAUGCAAAUACUAUAUAAUUUAAUUCAAAAAUCCAGGAAUAGCCUAUAAAUAUGUUCAUCAUUUUUGGAAGAGGUUUUCACCUUUAACAGAAAUUAUGAACAUUUCCAAAGGGCAUUCUGGGUUAUUGAAAAUAUUUUUAUUGAACCUAGUUAAAUUUCAUUUGGUGCUAGGGUUUCAACAAUCCCCAUUUCAAAAAAAUUUGGAAUUUAAACAUGAUGGCAUGAUGAACAAGCAAAGUCAAGCAAGGGUUGAACUGGGGCUGUGACAACUCACCCCCACUAAAACAAGAAUCUUGUCCCGAGAUUCAAGACGUGAGGUAAGAAGACAGAGGGGACACGGAACUGACACAGUCUUCAUGAUCCAUUGCAUUCCUCGAAGACGUUGAUUCAUUGCUUCAAAUUGAUCUUGACGUCUUGCUUUGAGAACUACAUCCAACAUGACAACGAGAAGAAGGGGAGGAUCUUGGAGGAAUCGAUCUUCUUGAGGUUCGAGCAACUUAGGAUCAUCUUGAGGAUCACAAGACCAAUUCACGGAAUGAGACAUAGAACAUCUCUGGAGCUGAGAGGCAAAACUUGCAUCAGGAGCGACGGAAAAAACAAUUUGACGAGGGUUUCAAAGUGGCGAAGAAAUAAUUGCCAUGAUCCCGUAACGGGGCACCUUAGGGAAGGUAACUCGUAGAAUCAUCCCUUAAGUGGCAAAAAGAAUUACCUUUGAUUCAAAGAUCACUGAGGCUCUUUAUACCAGCUUAAGGCAAAUCACAAUCGAUCAUUUAAAGGAGUCCGAAAGAAAGACAUUCUCGGGCCAGAAUGGAUGAUGUGGACUACCUUGUUGAAGACAACACAAGGAAUGAUUUUAGUAACUGGGGAGAAGCUCAACGGUAGAGAGUGAAUCCACUGUUGGAGUGGUUAUAGCAUAACCGAGGAAACUGAGAGCAAUCCCAGUUAGUAACUAUGAUAGCACCUAAUGCUUGUGCGUGCUUUCAAGAGUUUGAGCAUUUCCGUAUUCAUCAAGGUUUUAUCAACAUCCGUGUCAAGGGUGCUGACAACACAACAUACUACCAUGAUGAGUAGCGAUGGACGAUGCAGAUACAAAGGAAGACAACACUUUCUCAGAUUUCACCUUAGGGGGGCCAAGGAAACAAAAUCUGGAUGAUUGACCGAGAGACAUUUAGCACUCCGCUUCUAAUGUUCUCCUUGAUGUGCUAGUGUAUCCCAUUCAUUGAAAUGGUCUGGUAUCUAGAACAUCAAGUAACAGGUCGGACUUCGGGAACACCAAAAAUCCAUAAGGAACAACUACUAGUAUAAAUUCUGCGAGAUCCUUAUGGGGAGGUGGCCAACUUCUUCAAUCAAGAUACUACAAUAAUAGGUCUUCCGGCGGGGUGUGUUGGCCACGGCAUCCACCUUACCGGUUAUCACGAGACCAAUAUUAUAGUUCUUGGGAAAUGUUCCAACCAUCACAUCUGCCUGAGAUUCAAAUCUGGUUGGUGUCAGCAUAAUUCAGACUCGUCGAGUCUAGAGAGAAAAAUAAAAGUUUGCAACACAAAUCGACGAGAUAACGUUGUGAGAUUCUCGGGGAAUGGACUACGGUAGUAAGCUCCAAAACACGAGCUGCUUCUGCUACAAACAUGUGGACACGCUGCCUCAGGCAAGCAUGACCAAGUAGUAGUCUUAUAAUAAAACACUACCGGGUUCAGGAGGGGACCAUCAUCGAGGAUAUCAAAGUCCUUGCAUAAGGUAUACUCUUAAGAAGGAACUUAUUCUCCUUGAACAAAUCAAUCAGUGGCUUGGUAUGCUAGGAAUACAUAUAGAAUGAAGGUUGCAAGUCUUCGAACCAUAGAAUACUUCGCACGUAUGCAUGAAUGAUUUGGGAUGAUUCCAAAGGAAGCAACAUUGUCUUUCUCGAAUCCAUGGCGGCAACUUGCAUCAAAUGCACAUGAACUAGAGGAAGUCACUUCUUACAUCCGAACAUAUGCUUCAUGAGCUAGCAUGAACAAAUGCUUUAAAAAGUUUCCAACACUAGCUUAAUGUUCAACAAAACUAUGGAGAAGACAAGGAUGUUGUCGAUGGGCUCAACAGCAAUUCAUCCAGAUUCCCAUGGAGAUGGAAUUCCAUAACUAUGUGAACAAGGUGAUAGUAUUGGUCAGACCCAAAAGAUAUAAUGGUGUAUGCUCGAGGAAAAUCCACGAGUAAGACAACAUUACGAACAUCGUUGGUUCUGAUUCGAUUUGAGAAUAGCCCACACUCAAAUCAAAGUUUUUGGCAAGACAAUAGCUCCAACAACUGGUCACGAGGAUCAAUCGAUGAAGAUACCAUCUUUCUUCAACACACACACAAAAACAUCCCUUUGGAAUGAGCUAAGUCGGACAAGCUUUUAUCUUCCAAUUCUCCAAGUUGUUGUUUAGCUUAACCAACUAGCUCAGGGGUACCCAACACAGACUCUUGGAGAAGGGGUGGUUUACAAGAAACCAACUUGAUCACGAACUCAACAUAGCGGUCAGGUGACAACCUGGUGAUACCCCCGAGAAGAAAUUCGGAAAAUCACGAACCACCGAUAUGUUACUAAGCUCGAGAACAAUCUUGCUUUUCAGGGCAAGACGAUAUGAUCAAUAGAGCAAGGGUUUGACAAAAUCCUAGAUCAUUGAUCGAAGAGUGCACCAGAAAUAGAGACUAGGUAGCACAAUCAGUCUUAGGGUGACGAUUCAAUAAUCAACACACUAAGAAUGAGGUUAUCGUCCAUUUAACUACCAAGCAACGGAGUUGCUAGCAGUAUUGAUUUCACACACCACGAUUCACUUGUCGGCAUUUCGGUUACAAUAACACGGAAAACCGAGGAGUGAACAAUGAUGGCAAGAAGUAUUACUGCGUCAAGAAUUCAUAAGAGGUAGUGCAAUUCUCAUGAUAUUCUUAAUAUAAAGAUAAUAAUACUCCAAGGUAGAACAGAACAAAAGCUGGAUUGGCAUUUUGAUCUAUGGAAUACAACUGCUUUGACCCAAUCCUAGAUAUGGAUCAGGUUCUGGAGUUUGUUUCUCCUAGUCAUUCUAGAAUAGAAUGGCUUGAUGGACCACAAGAGUAAUAGGUAUCGAUGAACGAUCGCACGCAUAAUCUUGACUAUCAAAUGAUAGACAGGGGUCAGAAUACAACUAAAGAGGGACAACCCAAAAGGACAUACGAUUUUCUGAGUUGUGGAUGCACAGAUUAGUAUGUCGAGCAAAGCUCAACAUUUUUCUUCCGGAUAACCCAUGCGGGGAAGGUAGGACUGGCAGAUUCACAAUGUAGAAUGAAGAACUCAUCAAGAGCAUUCUUAUUGUGAUCUUUUGGUUCAGAGAACUUCUGCCAUAAUGGUUCAUGGUAUUGGAAGAACGGUAUACCACAGACCUCGAGGACUAAUGCAAAGGUUACUAAUAACCUAAGGGAGCUAGCAAUUACUAACAACAUGAAGUAAGUAGGGUGAAUCUCGGGUUCAAGAACCCAGGAAUAGAAUACCUACUACUAAAUGGCAUCACAGGAUGCUUUCGAGAAUGAUGGCCAGAAUCUUCACACUGGAAACACAAAACAUUGCUAGAUUACUAGGUGAUCCCCUAAGACACCUAGGGUCAUAAUAAUAAUUCCAACAUAUAUGUCGAGGCAAUAGAAUACCUCAACUCACCGAUUAGUGUGGUUAAUAUGGCCCAAAGGGACAUCAGAAUGGGAGGAAGGGAUUUUGUCAAUGCUUCAAACUAUUUAGAAACCUGGGAUGACUCGGACAGCAUAACGGCUGUAAAUGCUCAAAAUGAUUUGAGACAUCCUGCAAAGUAGUGGCAUGACCACUCAACAUCACAAUAACAUGGUUCUGAGACCAGCUAUGAACACACGGAAGUAGUAAAAGCUGAACUGAGAUUUGAAACUAAUGAUUCUAUAGGUCUAUGGAUUAGUAACACGUCAUCCUGAUAGAUAGAUGAGAAGGCCUAGUUCUUAAUCCCCGUAGAAGAGAAGAGGAUGACUCAGAUCAGAAGGCCAUGAGGUAUGAGGAGUAAAAAGAGCCUUACGUUCCCUUCCCCAAUCAAUUCCCUUACAUAACUAAAGCAUUUCUAGACACAACUUCGACCAGUUUGGCUUGGUAAUCCUACAGGCACUCAAGCUCUGAUACCAAAGCUGUCAGGACCCUGACUCAAUGCCACAUCAAUCUAUCAUGUAACACCUCAUAUCACUUUGCGGCCUCACGCACGGUAUUCCCACGGGUGUCGCCUUACCUUUGCCCGGGACCGUUUGCGCCUUUUGGCACACGUAUAUGAUAGUGUCGCUAGCAUCCAUAUGAUAAGGAGCCCGGGCUGACAUGGCUAGCCGUAAACCCAAAGUGGCACAGACUUACAGGGACAGGCAUCCAUGACCCAGCAUCGAACAUGUCGGUCAUUAGCAAAUAAGUUCCGGGCUGUAGCACUGGGCUAGCAGGACUCCGGUAAACCGGGCUGUAGCGGGCUAACAGGACUCCGGUAUUCAUCGCGUGACAUUUCCCCGAAGGGACAGACACGGGAACGAAGAAGGACACAUGCCGGCCAGCCUAAGUGUUCUGGAGCAGUAGCAAGCUACCAUGGCUCGGUGGAAACACUAGGAGACAUUUCCUAGUAAGAGAGGCUACUAAAGAUAAACAACUAGAUAGUCAGAUCCCACACAUACCAAGCAUUUCAAUAACAUACACACAAUAUGCUCGAUAUGUGCAAAUACAACAUGGCAUCACAACAUGACUCUACGACUCAAGUAUUUUUUUCAUUAGGCUCCGAGGAGCGAGAUAUUACAAACAGGGGUCUCAUGACCCAACAUUCAGAGCAUACAAAUCAAAGCACAAGCGGAAGCUAAUAUGUCUGAGUACAGACAUCUACAAAUGGAAAAAGGCUUAGAAGCCUGACUAUCUACCAGAUCCUGCCGAGGGCACAAGAUCGUAGCUGAGGUAUCAAGCUAAACGUCGAAGUCCACGCGGAACUACUAGCGAGACCGAAGUCUCUCUGCAAAAACAUAAAAUAGGCAAACGUGAGUACAAAUGUACCCAGCAAGACUUACAUCAGAACUAACUACAUAUGCAUCAUUAUCAACAAAGGGGAUGGUGGAGUUUAACAGCAGCAAGCCAGCUUUGACUCGGUGGCUAUCCUAAACUACGACUGCAAGUAACUCUUUUGAGGUGGCGCACACGAGUCCACAUAUUCACCAUAUCAAUACACCACUAUGGAUCCGCUCCGUCUCCCUACGAGAACGCCAUCCAUAGCACUCACACUUAUCUUGCGUAUUUUAGAGUAUCCACUUUCACUUGUCUAUGAACUGUUAUAGGCAACCCAGAAGUCCUUUACCGCGGACACGGCUAUUCGAAUAGAUGAUGUUAACCCUGCAGGGGUGUACUUCUUCACACACGCUCUCACCACUUACCGCCGUUUACACGACAUGUACUCGGCAACCUUCAAGCGGAAGCCCAACGAGGGUGUCGGCCACGACCUACCUAAACACUCAAGUCCCUAGUCCAGGUUUAUCGCCUAUUCGGGUUCCAUCCAUGAGGAGAUCCGGCCGAAGUUUCGCUCACAGCCCCAAACGAUGUGAGCAGGGUUCCCGAGACACCAAACGGGCGCCCGGUACACCAUGCCACGUG
This 9596-nucleotide long non-coding RNA is filed under the name Triticum aestivum (bread wheat). RNAcentral describes it as "long non-coding RNA (TAES_LNC011661)". Lineage: Eukaryota; Viridiplantae; Streptophyta; Magnoliopsida; Poales; Poaceae. The record is from RNAcentral.